This is a long non-coding RNA of Gallus gallus (chicken), 492 nucleotides long. RefSeq lists it as uncharacterized. The record is from RefSeq and is a predicted model, not a curated record. The transcript has 2 exons. NCBI's taxonomy places the organism in Eukaryota, Metazoa, Chordata, Aves, Galliformes, Phasianidae.
GCGGGUCGGCGGCGGCGAGCGACUGCGGGCAGGCGGGGCGAAGCGCGCCCUAAGAGCGGAGCGCGGAGGGGUUUUCCCUCUUUGUGACGUAAGAACAGCGCGGGAAUCCCUCCCCCCCCCGUGGCGGGAGCGUGUCGGAGCGCGCCCGGGCCGGUGGCGGUGCGCCGAAAUAAAGUGGGCACCUGAAGAUUGAAGGAUUGUGCAGCUGGGAAGGGAGAAUCCCGAGAUGCUGUGCAUGGAGCCAUGCCAGUGUCAGACAUUGUGGUCAGAGCAGCACUGGGGAUCAAGAGCAGCGCGUGACCAACCUGCAGCAUGACUAAUGCCAGUGGGCAGAUGUGAUGAAAGGAAAACGAAUGCUGAAGAAACGAAAACAAGAGCAGGAGUGAAAGGAAAGCGAACAGUUUUUUUUUUUCUCUGAACUCUAAUGCUUGUGCUGAAUCAGCUUCAAGCAGCGCCUCUGUAUAAAAUUAAAUAAAUCAUCACUACCGCUUC